UGUAUGGUUGCCCUCCUAACUCUCCCUCUGUAAUGUUACAGGACAGAAGACUGUAUGGUUGCCCUCCUAGCUCUCCCUCUGUAAUGUUACAGGACAUAAGACUCUGUAUGGUUGCCCUCCUAGCUCUCCCUCUAAUGUUACAGGACAGAAACAUGCUGCUGGCUUUAUCUCCUUUGUUUUGACUUUUUAUUGAAGCUUUUAUUUAUUUAAGCAGGGAGUCGUGCUGAGACCACUGCCUCUUUCACAGAUGAGCCCUGCAUGAACACAUCAAUACACAAAACGUUGUUAGCGUUGAAAAUAGAUUGACAGCUUCGAGGACAUGUAACAUGUCUGUCCUGUGUGCAGGAAUCACCAGCUAGCUGGGCAGCAGACAGUUGAUAUUGGACAAUGUACAGUAAGAGGAGCAUGGAUAUGCCUGGCUAUUCUCCUCUCAGCCAGCUGGCAUCCUAGUUAUUCACCCUUGGUGGGUUUCAUUGAAAUAGUCUGUGUAUUCUCUCUCUCAAUUCAAUUUGCUUUAUUGGGAUGAUGUAACGUUUUGCCCAAGUGUACUUUGGAGAUGAAGUGAUACAUUUACGAUAUUAACAGAAUUUAAAUAAUCAUUAUUGUCAACGGGAUAAAGGGUAGCAACAAUAAUUUAAGGGUAAAAAUAAUCCUACAAUGGCAAAGAGGACAUGUGCAGGUUUGUUGACACUGUCCCUCAUCUUCUGGCAGGCAGCAAUGUAGUGCUCUGCCAACCCACAGCUCUCUGUGUCCUCCCCCAACAGGACAGGUAGCCUAUCCUCAUCAGAGAGGUCUUCAAUGUAGUGCACUGCCAACCCACAGCUCUCUGUGUCCUCCCCCAACAGGACAGGUAGCCUAUCCUCAUCAGAGAGGUCUUCAAUGUAGUGCGCUGCCAACCCACAGCUCUCUGUGUCCUCCCCCAACAGGACAGGUAGCCUAUCCUCAUCAGAGAGGUCUUCAAUGUAGUGCGCUGCCAACCCACAGCUUUCUGUGUCCUCCCCCAACAGGACAGGUAGCCUGUCCUCAUCAGAGAGGUCUUCAAUGUAGUGCUCUGCCAACCCACAGCUCUCUGUGUCCUCCCCCAACAGGACAGGUAGCCUAUCCUCAUCAGAGAGGUCUUCAAUGUAGUGCUCUGCCAACCCACAGCUCUCUGUGUCCUCCCCCAACAGGACAGGUAGCCUAUCCUCAUCAGAGAGGUCUUUGAAACCUUCAAUAAGUGUUUCAAAUUUGGGGAAAUGACACUCUCUAAUUAUUUUAUAUUGUUAACAUUUUGUCAGGAAAUGCAGCUCUGUCUCAGGUUCUGCUGUGGUGCAGUGGUUGCACAGCCUUUCCUCUACAGGGAGCCAGGUUUUCCUGUGUCGACCCUUCUCAAUGGCAAGGCUGUGCUCACUGAGCCUGUGUUUUGUCAAGGGUUUUCUGAUCAGUAACCAUGGUCCAAUAGUUAGCCACGGUGUACUGUUGAUUUAGGGCCAGAUAGCACUACAUUUAGCUUUGUGCUUGUGUUUCCCAGUAGGUAAUGGAGUUCUGUUUUCACUGUGUUGUAAUUUGGUUUAUUAUGAUCGAUUUUGGAUGUUCUGGUCCUGAGGUUGGUCCUGAGUUUGUGAACUCUGCCCCAGGACCAGCUGGAUGAGGGGACUAUUUUCUUUGCUCAGCUCUUGGCAUUUCAGUGCUUGGUAAUGAUAUGAGAGGGGGUCACUGUAUUUUAGAUGUUUCCAAAACUUAAUUGCAAUUUUUUAUUUUUAAAAUUAUUAGUGGAUAUUGGCCUAAAUCUGCCCUGCAUGCAUUGUUUGUAGUUUUCCUCUGGUCAUGUAGGAGAAUCUUACAGAAUUCUGCAUGCAGGGUUUCAAUGGGAUGUUUGUUCCAUUGGUUGAAAUCUUGUUUUGCAAGUGGACUCCACACCUCACUGUCAUUAAGUGCAAUUAGUUCAAUGACACAUUCAAUUAGUUUUAGCCACAUGUUUAUAGGCAUUUCAAGUUGAAUGAGUUGUUUAAGGGCGUAGAAUGUCCUGAGUGCUUUCUCACUGUUCAUUCACUGCUUCAUUUAGGUGUCCAGUUGAGCUUGUUUUUACACAUAAGUAAUUGUAGUGUGUGCAGUACUCUAUAUAUUUUUUGUACCAAUUGAGAACUUUGGUCUAAUUCCCCCUAAGAUCUGGAUCCUCUCUGGAAAAUAACCUUUUUUUUUAUACUAUUCUUUCUUUGUCUCAAUUAAAUGUCAAUUUAAGGGGCUUGAUUGGCAUGGGAAAACAUUACACUCACAAAAGUUCCAAAAGAAUAGAAACAUUUCAAAUGUCAUUUGUCUGUAUACAGUGUUGUAACGAUGUGCAAAUAGUUAAAGUACAAAAGGGAAAAUAAAUAAAC
This is a long non-coding RNA of Oncorhynchus tshawytscha (Chinook salmon), 2357 nucleotides long. Lineage: Eukaryota; Metazoa; Chordata; Actinopteri; Salmoniformes; Salmonidae. The record is from Ensembl.